Molecule: ribosomal RNA, 1313 nt
Filed under: uncultured Eubacteriaceae bacterium
Lineage: Bacteria; Bacillati; Bacillota; Clostridia; Eubacteriales; Eubacteriaceae
Description: bacterial SSU rRNA
Rfam family: Bacterial small subunit ribosomal RNA
Source: RNAcentral
GAGCGAGAAGCCUUGAACCGAUCCUUCGGGUGAAGUUCUCUGGUGGAAAGCGGCGGACGACUGAGUAACGCGUAGGUAACCUGCCUUGUGCUAGGGGAUAGCCUCGGGAAACCGGGAUUAAUACCUUAUGACCAUAUGAAAUCGCAUGAUUUUAUAUGCAAAGAUUUAUCGGCAUAAGAGGGACCUGCGUCCGAUUAGCUAGUUGGUGAGGUAACGGCUCACAAAGGCAACUAUCGGUAACCGACCUAAGAGGGUAAACGGUCAGAUUGGGACUGAGACACGGCCCAGACUCCUACGGGAGGCAGCAGUGGGGAAUAUUGCGCAAUGAGCGAAAGCUUGACGCAGCAAUGCCGCGUGAAUGAUGAAGGUCCUUCGGAUUGUAAAAUUCAGUACCAUGGGAAGAAUUUUGACGGUACCAUGGGUUAAGCCCCGGCUAAUUACGUGCCAGCAGCCGCGGUAAUACGUAAGGGGCAAGCGUUAUCCGGAAUUAUUGGGCGUAAAGAGUGCGUAGGUGGUUCGUUAAGUGAAGGGUGAAAGGCAGUGGCUCAACCAUUGUAAGCCUUUCAAACUGGCGAACUUGAGUGCAGGAGGGGACAGCGGAAUUCCUAGUGUAGCGGUGAAAUGCGUAGAUAUUAGGAGGAACACCUGGGGCGAAGGCGGCUGUCUGGACUGUAACUGACACUGAGGCACGAAAGCGUGGGGAGCAAACAGGAUUAGAUACCCUGGUAGUCCACGCCGUAAACGAUGAGCACUAGAUGUUGGCGUAUGAAAACGUCGGUAUCGCAGUUAACGCAUUAAGUGCUCCGCCUGGGGAGUACGCUCGCAAGAGUAAAACUCAAAGGAAUUGACGGGGACCCGCACAAGCAGCGGAGCAUGUGGUUUAAUUCGAAGAUACGCGAAGAACCUUACCCAGACUUGACAUCCUUCUGAAAGCUUCCUUAACCGGAAGCCCCCUUCGGGCAGAAGUGACAGAUGGUGCAUGGUUGCCGUCAGCUCGUGUCGUGAGAUGUUGGGUUAAGUCCCGCAACGAGCGCAACCCUUGUCCUUAGUUGGCAUCAGUUCGGCUGGCAACUCUAAGGAGACUGCCGGGGAUACCCCGGAGGAAGGCGAGGAUGACGUCAAAUCAUCAUGCCUCUUACGUCUGGGGCUACACACGUGCUACAAUGGUCGUUACAAAGUGCCUGCGAACUCGCGAGAGUAAGCAAAUCACUAAAGACGAUCUCAGUUCGGAUUGUAGGCUGAAACUCGCCUGCAUGAAGUUGGAGUUGCUAGUAAUCCUAAAUCAGAAUGUUAGGGUGAAUGCGUUCCCGGGU